This 994-nucleotide ribosomal RNA is filed under the name uncultured bacterium. RNAcentral describes it as "bacterial SSU rRNA". It matches the Rfam family "Bacterial small subunit ribosomal RNA", at positions 25 to 1024 of the family's 1533-position model. The record is from RNAcentral.
CCGGACUAGACGGAAGGUCUAUACAUGCAAGUCGAACGGGAUUGGAGAGCUUGCUUUCCAUGAGAGUGGCGUACGGGUGCGUAACGCGUAUGCAACCUACCUUCAUCAGGGGGAUAGCCCGAAGAAAUUCGGAUUAACACCGCAUAACAUUAUUGGAUGGCAUCAUUUAAUAAUCAAAUAUUUAUAGGAUGAAGAUGGGCAUGCGUGUCAUUAGCUAGUUGGCGAGGUAACGGCUCACCAAGGUGACGAUGACUAGGGGAUCUGAGAGGAUGACCCCCCACACUGGUACUGAGACACGGACCAGACUCCUACGGGAGGCAGCAGUAAGGAAUAUUGGUCAAUGGAGGCAACUCUGAACCAGCCAUGCCGCGUGCAGGAAGACUGCCUUAUGGGUUGUAAACUGCUUUUAUACGGGAAUAAACCUUGAUUCGUGAAUCGAGCUGAAUGUACCGUAAGAAUAAGGAUCGGCUAACUCCGUGCCAGCAGCCGCGGUAAUACGGAGGAUCCAAGCGUUAUCCGGAUUUAUUGGGUUUAAAGGGAGCGUAGGCGGCCUAUUAAGUCAGGGGUGAAAGACGGUGGCUCAACCAUCGCAGUGCCUUUGAUACUGGUAGGCUUGAAUGUAGUUGAGGUAGGCGGAAUGUGACAAGUAGCGGUGAAAUGCAUAGAUAUGUCACAGAACACCGAUUGCGAAGGCAGCUUACUAAGCUAUGAUUGACGCUGAGGCUCGAAAGCGUGGGGAUCAAACAGGAUUAGAUACCCUGGUAGUCCACGCCCUAAACGAUGAUAACUCGAUGUUGGCGAUAUACAGUCAGCGUCCAAGCGAAAGCGUUAAGUUAUCCACCUGGGGAGUACGCCCGCAAGGGUGAAACUCAAAGGAAUUGACGGGGGCCCGCACAAGCGGAGGAGCAUGUGGUUUAAUUCGAUGCAACGCGAAAAACCUUACCUACCUUUGACAUGUACGGAAUUCGCCAGAGAUGGCUUAGUGCUCGAAGAG